CCCCUAGACGUUCUGGGCUGCACGCGCGCUACAAUAAUACGCACAGCGAGUAUCACCGAGCUCGAAAGGGCAAGGUAAACAAUAGAAAAGGUACUGUAAUGGUUAUAGAUCCUUGUAAUUAUUGAUCUUCAACGAGGAAUUCCUAGUAAGUAUGUGUCAUCAUCACGCACUGAUUACGUCCCUGCCCUUUGUACACACCGCCCGUCGCUCCUACCGAUUGGGUGAGCCGAUGAAACUCUCGGAUGUAAGCUAUUCAUAGCCCGCAGAAGAGAUUUGAAUCGUAGCGCUUAGAGGAAGGAGAAGUCGUAACA
Molecule: ribosomal RNA, 311 nt
Filed under: uncultured eukaryote
Lineage: Eukaryota
Description: partial 18S ribosomal RNA
Rfam family: Eukaryotic small subunit ribosomal RNA
Source: RNAcentral